Molecule: ribosomal RNA, 497 nt
Filed under: uncultured bacterium
Lineage: Bacteria
Description: partial 16S ribosomal RNA
Rfam family: Bacterial small subunit ribosomal RNA
Source: RNAcentral
GAUGAACGCUGGCGGCGUGCCUAAUACAUGCAAGUCGAGCGAACGGACGAGAAGCUUGCUUUUCUGAUGUUAGCGGCGGACGGGUGAGCGACACGUGGAUAACCUACCUAUAAGACUGGGAUAACUUCGGGAAACCGGAGCUAAUACCGGAUAAUAUUUUGAACCGCAUGGUUCAAAAGUGAAAGACGGUCUUGCUGUCACUUAUAGAUGGAUCCGCGCUGCAUUAGCUAGUUGGUAAGGUAACGGCUUACCAAGGCAACGAUGCAUAGCCGACCUGAGAGGGUGAUCGGCCACACUGGAACUGAGACACGGUCCAGACUCCUACGGGAGGCAGCAGUAGGGAAUCUUCCGCAAUGGGCGAAAGCCUGACGGAGCAACGCCGCGUGAGUGAUGAAGGUCUUCGGAUCGUAAAACUCUGUUAUUAGGGAAGAACAUAUGUGUAAGUAACUGUGCACAUCUUGACGGUACCUAAUCAGAAAGCCACGGCUAACUACGUG